AAAGUAAAAGAGUAAAGUGGUACAGUGAAGCUGGUCAGCGACUGGAGAAAGAGCUGAUGUUUCCGGUUCAAUUCACUUUUCAAAGCACGGGUGCCCACUACCUGUCACUGUGUGAAGAGAAGACAUCUAGACUCUCACCAGCAAGACAUCUGACAAACACAGGGGACUUUACCAGAGGGACAGGUAUUAUCCUUCUUUCCAUCACCCAUCACAGCUACACAACGAAAAAUACAGGUCAGCAGUCGGCACCCUUACUGGCUGCUAGAGGGGCCACUCAGGCCAAACAACAGGAAGGCACAGGAGAGUCACCAGAGCCAAAGGACGCAGAGGGUGAGAGCCGCAUAACGCCCGUGCAUAUCAGCAGUUAAUAAGCAAGAUGGGCUAAAACGGGUUGUAACUGAAUAGGACAAUGGCAGCACACUAGCGAUGAGUGAGGACAGAAGAAAAGAGAGAAGGCGGUUUCUGUGGGGGCUCAGGGUCUGCCACCCACAAGUCCCUCUAGAAUUACCAGAAUACAGGCCUUGAAUCUAUACAGUCCAGGCUGCCUCCUUCAUGAAAUAUUUUUAGUCUCUUUUCUAUUUCAACCUUAUGAAAGACUGUGUGUUGACACAUCCAGAAACAAAAAUUAAUCUGACUGGCUUUAAGAGAAGCAAAUCAGCAGGCCCCGAAUAAAUACAAUAAGCAGCGCUUCACUUUUCAUUAGUGUUCUAUAACCUCGUCGGGGGAACAGUCUUUACAAGAGAAGACAUCACGUAUCGGUUCUAAAAUACAGGCUUCUAUAUGCAGACGUUUAUUUUUCUCUGACAGUGGUGGAGACAUGAUUUUUUCGUUGGUUUAUUUUUGUUUAUUGUUGCUGGCCAGUAGAAGUAGGGUGACGAAUUUAAAGAAAAAUGUGAAAUAAAAAUUAAAGCCAUGAAUAAAAAUGGAGUCCAACUUUCCUAAGAUUCGUAUAUGCCUUUUAUAUACAUAUAUAUUCUCACUGUAAGGGUAUUAUGAUACAUACUAAUGGAGGGAAAUAAAAAAAUUACAAAAGGCAUCAAGUGUGCUAUCUUUAUUCAGCGAUAGCAACAUCAUUUUGGCAUCUAU
Long non-coding RNA from Fukomys damarensis (Damara mole-rat), 1086 nucleotides. Lineage: Eukaryota; Metazoa; Chordata; Mammalia; Rodentia; Bathyergidae. The record is from Ensembl.